This 93-nucleotide microRNA precursor is filed under the name Macleaya cordata. RNAcentral describes it as "MIR2275 microRNA precursor family". It matches the Rfam family "MIR2275 microRNA precursor family". The record is from Rfam by way of RNAcentral. Lineage: Eukaryota; Viridiplantae; Streptophyta; Magnoliopsida; Ranunculales; Papaveraceae.
GGGUUGCAGGUGAGAAUUGGAUGGAACUGAACCAUCUUUUCUCCUCCAUGGUUAGUGAGGGUUCAGUUUCCUCCAAUAUCUCACCUUCGACCA